UACGUAGGGCGCAAGCGUUAUCCGGAAUCACUGGGCGUAAAGCGCACGUAGGCGGCUUUCUAAGUCAGAGGUGAAAUCCUGGAGCUCAACUCCAGAACUGCCUUUGAUACUGGGGAGCUUGAGUCCGGAAGAGGUUAGUGGAACUGCGAGUGUAGAGGUGAAAUUCGUAGAUAUUCGCAAGAACACCAGUGGCGAAGGCGGCUAACUGGUCCGGUACUGACGCUGAGGUGCGCAAGCGUGGGGAGCAAACAGG
This 253-nucleotide ribosomal RNA is filed under the name uncultured bacterium. RNAcentral describes it as "partial 16S ribosomal RNA". It matches the Rfam family "Bacterial small subunit ribosomal RNA", at positions 524 to 776 of the family's 1533-position model. The record is from RNAcentral.